RNAcentral lists this long non-coding RNA (1061 nucleotides) under Equus caballus (horse). RNAcentral's name for it is "lncRNA (ENSECAG00000059221.1)". The record is from RNAcentral. Lineage: Eukaryota; Metazoa; Chordata; Mammalia; Perissodactyla; Equidae.
GCGGAGGGGCGAACCUCUUGUCCUCGCUUUUGUUGCUUCGCCUGUUUUCUAACUCCAAACGCUAGGCAGAGGUCGCUGUACUUUUCUGGCUUGAUGGAUGGUUAAAGAGUCUCGGGUAGGGGGAGGGCUGCGAUCAGCUGAAAGUUUCCGAAGAAAUGGGUCACACUGGCUCUGCGCGUCCUUUGCCUCCCGCCCCUCUCACCUCCGGGCGGACGCAAAGUGGCGAGGACUCGCAGGUGCCAGAUGGUGCUUGCGAAGGCACGGGCCCGCCGCCUGUGCCUGACUCCUUCUCUCCUGCGACGGAUUUCUAGUGGGCCUUAACUGCUAACCAGCCACAAAAUUGGGAAUAAGAAGAUAACGGCUGUUCCCAUCACUAAGUUCUGAUCUCUAGGAAUGUGGUUUUGUUUCCCCUCUCUCCCUGUCCUCCCCACUCUGAUUUAAAUUGCUCAGAGUAUUUCAAUGGAAAUUAACUAUAAACCUAGUAGUUCAAAAAUUACAUUUAUCCCUCACUCAUUACUGGAUUUAAGGAGAUCUGGGCUGCUGGAGCUUUUCUGCAGAAACCUUUUAUUUAUCUUAAUAUUUUGUAUUUUGAGUGAAUACUUUCUCUCAGCUCUACUCCACUUAUUCACCUGUUUCCUAGGAAAGUCUUACAGAUGUGGAAAAGAAUCCUGUAAGAAAUGUUCAUAUGGAAAAACUUGAUUUCCAGAAAAACAUAUGGUGAUGUGGAAUGGGGGUUAGAUUGAUAAUUCACUUUAAAUAAAAGGUUUCUGAUACAUAGAAGGACUCACUGUUAUAUGUAUUUAACUAGUGACCUCUCCUACUUCACUGGAAAGAAGGUUUGAGUUUCAUAAAGUUAAACGCUCAGCAUUUCACAAUAUACGUGUUACACAAGGAAAGAAACACUAGUCUACUCUUUCCAGAAAAUGUAUCUAUGGCAUAUAAUAUAUUCUAGAAGGAUAUUGAUGGGCAUCUGUAAUCAGCAGUCACUGGAUCUAUAGUUUGAAUAGUAGUGAUGUACGACCAGACACUUGCAAUAUCAAAAGACUUUUCCUUGGUUCUCU